GGGCCCGCACAAGCGGUGGAGUAUGUGGUUUAAUUCGAUGCAACGCGAAGAACCUUACCAGGGUUUGACAUCCUGCGAAUCUCUUGGAAACAGGAGAGUGCCUUCGGGAACGCAGUGACAGGUGGUGCAUGGCUGUCGUCAGCUCGUGUCGUGAGAUGUUGGGUUAAGUCCCGCAACGAGCGCAACCCACGUCUUUAGUUGCCAGCAUUUAGUUGGGCACUCUAGAGAGACUGCCGGUGAUAAACCGGAGGAAGGUGUGGAUGACGUCAAGUCAUCAUGCCCCUUACAUCCUGGGCUACACACGUACUACAAUGCUACGGACAAAGGGCAGCAAACUCGCGAGAGCUAGCAAAUCCCAUAAACCGUGGCUCAGUUCAGAUCGUAGGCUGCAACUCGCCUACGUGAAGGCGGAAUCGCUAGUAAUCAGAUAU
Molecule: ribosomal RNA, 431 nt
Filed under: uncultured bacterium
Lineage: Bacteria
Description: bacterial SSU rRNA
Rfam family: Bacterial small subunit ribosomal RNA
Source: RNAcentral